Molecule: long non-coding RNA, 3287 nt
Organism: Lycium barbarum (goji berry)
Lineage: Eukaryota; Viridiplantae; Streptophyta; Magnoliopsida; Solanales; Solanaceae
Exons: 2
Source: RefSeq, a predicted model, not a curated record
CUCCAUAAUAAUCUGUGCUACUUGUAUUAAAACAAGAAAGAAUGAGUUAAGAAGGUUCAAGGAAAGUUAAUCGAGUUAGUAAGAAUAUCGUUAUAUAUACAUGGUUUCCUUAAGUAUCCCAAGGCGACACGGUUACCUAAAGGGUGUGGAAUCGCGCUAUGAGUAUGUAUAUGAAGUAAUGCGAGUGACCUUUUAAAGUAUUUGAGAUUAUUAGUAAUGAUAUAGAGGGUGGACAAAAGAUAUGAAUAUAUUUUUGCGAUUGGAGUUUCGUCAAAGCUUUGUGAGUUCUCUAGUUAUGUUUAAGGUUAUUGUGAGUCUCUGGACCCUUCAAGAUGUGUAUAUGGAUUUUUUUAUUGAUGUAUAUAAGUGUGUAUAUGUAUGCAUAAGAGGUUACAUAAGGUUGGAAGAGGAUUAGAAGUUAAACGAAAUGAAUCGGAACAACUUCAGUAAAAUUUCGGACCCGAUUUUAGUCUAUAUUGUAGGAGGCAUAUCUCCUUGAAUAUGAGGUGUUUUAAGGUGUUUCAAAAGCCUAAAAUGAAGUUCAUCGAGUCUAGUUUGUAAUGCAACAAACCGCUCGUCAAAAUGAUAUCGGGAUAAGGAGAUAUGGACGAUGCAAGUUGGGCUGGCAGGGCAGCAAGUUUGGACCCGACCCAAACACUCACAUUUCGGCCCAUGAGGCCCAUUAAACUCAAUAGAUAAGUCACCACUUUGCCCUAUAUCAUUUCACACGACCUAAAACAGAUCCAAAACCCUUAUUUUCUCUCCCAAACCCCCUUUCUAAUUGAGCCAUCAUAUAAGCUAAAUCCUAGACCCUUGACAUGAUAUUAGUUAAAGAGAAGUUGUAGCUUAAGUUUUUUUUGUGUUGUUAAGCAAGCAGCUGGAAAGAGGAACAAGAUUCUUGAAGAUUCUGAUUGCUAAAGGAAACGUUGAUAUACAAGCUAGAGAGAGAGAGCAUAAGCCAUGGCAUUCGGCCAUGGCUAGCAAAAUUGGAGCUCAAAUUUGUUGAUCCAAAAAUCAGAUUUUCUAGGUAUUUCAGCCCUUAGGAAGGUGAUAAUAACGUGGAGAAUUCAUUUGGAGCAACAAGAACAAGUAUUAGUGCAUUUCACAAAUUCUAGCUAAGUGGAAAAAGCCAACUUGUUAAGGUAAGAGUUGAUCAUUUUUCUAUGUGUUUGAUGAUGAAGUUGGACGUGUGGGGAAUAUGCAAAUGUAAAUUGUAUGUGUGAAAUUAUGUAUCUUGAUGUUGAAGCAUAGUUGUAACUUGGUAACAUGAAUUGCACGAAUGUUGGAAUGUUGUUGAAUGCCGUAGGGGCUGUUUUUAAUUGAAAUUUGAUGGACUGAUUUGAAUUAAUAUUUUGGUUGUUGUAAUCAUAGAUUAUGUGAUGAGAAUGAAGGAAUUUAAUGGUUAGAGUUGGAGUUAAAAUUGUUGUGGGUUGUUGUAAGGAUUAUAGAGAUAAUAAUGUGAUUUACUUGCAUAUGGAUAGAUGAUGUGGUGUCGUGUGGCUGCUGUUGUAUUUCCCUGAAAUUUGCUGAAAAGAUGGCAUGAAAUAAGUCGUAAGAAGUGUAUAUGGGCUGCUUGGUGUGUUGUAAGUGUUCGUUAGAAUUUCGGGCAUCGUUAUGUUAUAGUUUAGGGGCUGUUUUCGGCCCAAUUUGGAGAAAUUGUUGGAUCGUUGGAAAUAUUAUGUGAAUUGUUUAGAAUGUUCUUGAAUGUUGUUAGUAUGGGUUUGGGUUAGUAUUUGAAUGUAUAGGCGUUGAUGUUGGCUUGAAGGUAAGCCGUUGAAUUGAAUAUUUGGAAAGUUGUCGAAUGAUGAAAAAGAGAGUAUUAAUGUAAUAUUGUCUUUCGGAUUGGUUAUUGGAGUUGCUAGGUUGGUUAUUGUGGUUGUUGCUGUUGAUUUUGAGCGAGUUAAAUUCUCGGGAUGGCCUAUUUAGAGGGGAAGUGCUGCCGAAUUUUCUGUAGAAUUUAAUGUUAGUUUGGAAUGAAUGGCUUAAGUGCCUAUGUUUAAUAUUGGAUAUUCGUUGGCAUAUUUGUAGACCUUGGGGAGCCCGAGGCGUAGAUUGGAAUUUACUUUAGAUUGGCUAUCUUGGAGUGCGUACGAGGUAUGUAAAGCGCAACCCUUCUUUCUUUUGGCAUGCCUUAGUUUUCAAUAGGCUAUAUCACGAGCCUCGAGGAAAUUCCAAAUUCGAAAUCCGAGCACGUUAUGAUCCUUAUAUAUAUAUUUCUUGGCAUUCUUAUGUAUGUUGUGAUGAAGUAUGAACAAUUAUGUCUUCGAAAGCAUUGAUUUCCAAACUUUGUACAAAAAGUUGUUUUAAAGAAUUCCGUAACUACGAAAUGCCAUAUCUUUUGCAUAAAGGCUCGGAUUGCUCCAAUAUUUUCAUAAGAGUUUGCAUGAUGUAUAAUGAGUAUGUUUUCCAUGAGCGGGCCCGAUUCGGGUCGAUACCCGUUCGUGGGUCCCGCGACUUUCCUUUAUGUAAUUCGGACGACUUUUGAAAGAAUUUGGUAUGAUUAUCAUUUCGAAUUUCAAAUAUGAUCAUUUUACUUAUGUUUGAAUUUAUGAUAAUGAUUUUAUGCAUAUGACUACUCUAUUAACUACUAAACAAAAAUUGUUUUAAAUAAUUCAUUAAGUCUUAUAAAUUGUUUUGGCACUCGGAACGACUUCAGAAAGGUAUGCUUCUGUAAUUCAUUAUGACAUCCGAAACUCACUUAUUAUGAUCCCGUCUGACUUCAUUGAAUUGGUUUGUCAUUGAUAUGCCUCAUCGAGUCUCUGAAAAUAUUUAUGAUAUUUUAACUGCAUUUAGUUUCUCACUACUCUAUUCGUGGAUGCCCCAAUGUUUCCCACAAUGAGCCCGGGCCAGGAUAUGUUGUCAAGCGUAAUCCUCUGCAUUGUUCGCCGUGCCUCGAUGUGAGGGGGCAGGUAUACGUGUACAUGGGUUUGUGGAGUAUGCUGUGCCAUGUACACAUGUUCUGAUAUGAUUUGCCAUGGCCAUCUGAUAUGAUAUACUAUGUUACGGGGUUAUGCCCCUAUUCUGAUUCUUCUGUGUUGUGGCACCAGCGUCGGGAGGGUGGCCACGUUCUGUUUGCCGAGUCCCUUGGCAGGGGCCGGAUUUGAUAUGACAUAUGUUUCUGUACACACUCCGCAUGUUUUGAAGAUAUGUAUUUGAUACUUUGGAUUUUCUACUCACUUUUUCUGUACGUUCUGUACCAGUUAUGAUUUUGGUUCUGUAAUUCAGGCUUUACAUAUUCAGUACAUAUUUCGUACUGACCCCCUUUCUUCGGGGGCUGCGUUUUCAUG